AUACAUGCAGUCGAGCGAACAGAGAAGGAGCUUGCUCCUUCGACGUUAGCGGCGGACGGGUGAGUAACACGUGGGCAACCUACCUUAUAGUUUGGGAUAACUCCGGGAAACCGGGGCUAAUACCGAAUAAUCUGUUUCACCUCAUGGUGAAACACUGAAAGACGGUUUCGGCUGUCGCUAUAGGAUGGGCCCGCGGCGCAUUAGCUAGUUGGUGAGGUAACGGCUCACCAAGGCGACGAUGCGUAGCCGACCUGAGAGGGUGAUCGGCCACACUGGGACUGAGACACGGCCCAGACUCCUACGGGAGGCAGCAGUAGGGAAUCUUCCACAAUGGGCGAAAGCCUGAUGGAGCAACGCCGCGUGAGUGAAGAAGGAUUUCGGUUCGUAAAACUCUGUUGUAAGGGAAGAACAAGUACAGUAGUAACUGGCUGUACCUUGACGGUACCUUAUUAGAAAGCCACGGCUAACUACGUGCCAGCAGCCGCGGUAAUACGUAGGUGGCAAGCGUUGUCCGGAAUUAUUGGGCGUAAAGCGCGCGCAGGUGGUUUCUUAAGUCUGAUGUGAAAGCCCACGGCUCAACCGUGGAGGGUCAUUGGAAACUGGGAGACUUGAGUGCAGAAGAGGAUAGUGGAAUUCCAAGUGUAG
This 645-nucleotide ribosomal RNA is filed under the name Lysinibacillus fusiformis. Its description in RNAcentral is "bacterial SSU rRNA". It matches the Rfam family "Bacterial small subunit ribosomal RNA", at positions 51 to 678 of the family's 1533-position model. Lineage: Bacteria; Bacillati; Bacillota; Bacilli; Caryophanales; Bacillaceae. The record is from RNAcentral.